RNAcentral lists this ribosomal RNA (861 nucleotides) under Flavobacterium sp. GUAF 6009. RNAcentral's name for it is "bacterial SSU rRNA". It matches the Rfam family "Bacterial small subunit ribosomal RNA", at positions 22 to 889 of the family's 1533-position model. Lineage: Bacteria; Pseudomonadati; Bacteroidota; Flavobacteriia; Flavobacteriales; Flavobacteriaceae. The record is from RNAcentral.
GCUCAGGAUGAACGCUAGCGGCAGGCUUAACACAUGCAAGUCGAGGGGUAGAGGCCUUCGGGCCUUGAGACCGGCGCACGGGUGCGUAACGCGUAUGCAAUCUGCCUUCCACAGAGGGAUAGCCCAGAGAAAUUUGGAUUAAUACCUCAUAGCAUCAUGACCCGGCAUCGGGAUAUGAUUAAAGUCACAACGGUGGAAGAUGAGCAUGCGUCCCAUUAGCUAGUUGGUAAGGUAAUGGCUUACCAAGGCUACGAUGGGUAGGGGUCCUGAGAGGGAGAUCCCCCACACUGGUACUGAGACACGGACCAGACUCCUACGGGAGGCAGCAGUGAGGAAUAUUGGUCAAUGGGCGCAAGCCUGAACCAGCCAUGCCGCGUGCAGGAUGACGGUCCUAUGGAUUGUAAACUGCUUUUGUACGGGAAGAAACCCUCCUACGUGUAGGAGCUUGACGGUACCGUAAGAAUAAGGAUCGGCUAACUCCGUGCCAGCAGCCGCGGUAAUACGGAGGAUCCAAGCGUUAUCCGGAAUCAUUGGGUUUAAAGGGUCUGUAGGCGGUCUUGUAAGUCAGUGGUGAAAGCCCAUCGCUCAACGGUGGAACGGCCAUUGAUACUGCUGGACUUGAAUUAUUGGGAAGCAACUAGAAUAUGUAGUGUAGCGGUGAAAUGCUUAGAGAUUACAUGGAAUACCAAUUGCGAAGGCAGGUUGCUACCAAUGGAUUGACGCUGAUGGACGAAAGCGUGGGUAGCGAACAGGAUUAGAUACCCUGGUAGUCCACGCCGUAAACGAUGGAUACUAGCUGUUGGGCGCAAGUUCAGUGGCUAAGCGAAAGUGAUAAGUAUCCCACCUGGGGAGUACGAACGC